This 200-nucleotide ribosomal RNA is filed under the name uncultured bacterium. Its description in RNAcentral is "partial 16S ribosomal RNA". It matches the Rfam family "Bacterial small subunit ribosomal RNA", at positions 329 to 539 of the family's 1533-position model. The record is from RNAcentral.
ACGCUGACACCUACGGGAGGCGGCAGUGGGGAAUAUUGGGCAAUGGGCGAAAGCCUGACCCAGCAACGCCGCGUGAGGGAAGAAGGUUUUCGGAUUGUAAACCUCUGUCCUCAGGGACGAAGGACGUGACGGUACCUGAGGAGGAAGCCCCGGCUAACUACGUGCCAGCAGCCGCGGUAAUCUGAGCGGGCUGGCAAGGC